RNAcentral lists this ribosomal RNA (523 nucleotides) under uncultured bacterium. RNAcentral describes it as "bacterial SSU rRNA". It matches the Rfam family "Bacterial small subunit ribosomal RNA", at positions 41 to 546 of the family's 1533-position model. The record is from RNAcentral.
CGGGCCGUUAACACAUAGCAAGUCGAACGAAGCGACCUGAACGGAGUUACUUUCGGACUUUGAAGUUCUUGUUGACUGAGUGGCGAACGGGUUGAGUAACGACGUGGGUAACCGUAGCCUACAUACAGGGGAGUAACAGUUAGAAAUGACUGCUAAUACCGCAUAAGACGCACAGCUUCGCAUGAAGCAGUGUGAAAAACUCCGGUGGUAUGAGAUGGACCCGCGUCAGAUUAGCUAGUUGGCAGGGUAACGGCCUACCAAGGCGACGAUCUGUAGCCGACCUGAGAGGGUGACCGGCCACAUUGGGACUGAGACACGGCCCAAACUCCUACGGGAGGCAGCAGUGGAGAAUAUUGCACAAUGGGGGAAACCCUGAUAGCAGCGACGCCGACGUGAGCGAAGAAGUAUUUUCGGUAUGUAAAGCUCUAAUCAGCAGGGAAGAUAAUGACGGUACCUGACUAAGAAGCUCCGGCUAAAUACGUGCCAGCAGACCGCGGUAAUACGUAUGGAGCAAGCGUUAUCC